Molecule: ribosomal RNA, 440 nt
Filed under: uncultured bacterium
Lineage: Bacteria
Description: partial 16S ribosomal RNA
Rfam family: Bacterial small subunit ribosomal RNA
Source: RNAcentral
CUACGGGCGGCACCAGUAAAGAAUCUUCCACAAUGGGCGAAAGCCUGAUGGAGCGACACCGCGUGCAGGAUGAAGGCCUUCGGGUUGUAAACUGCUUUUCUGGGGGAAUAAUUCUGAAGGUACCCUAGGAAUAAGCACCGGCUAACUCCGUGCCAGCAGCCGCGGUAAUACGGAGGGUGCAAACGUUACCCGGAAUCAUUGGGCGUAAAGCGUCCGCAGGCUGUGUAAUAAGUCAGAUAUAAAAUCUUGAGGCUCAACUUCAAGUCCGUGUCUGAAACUAUUACGCUAGAGGCUUGGAGAGGUGAGUGGAAUUCUACAUGUAGGGGUAAAAUCCGUAGAUAUGUAGAGGAACACCAAAAGCGAAGGCAGCUCACUGGCCAAGUACUGACGCUCAUGGACGAAAGCGUGGGGAGCGAACGGGAUUAGAUACCCCCGUAGUC